UUCUAGGGGCUUCCUAUAUUUAGCAGAUC
This 29-nucleotide non-coding RNA is filed under the name Mus musculus (house mouse). The record is from RNAcentral. Lineage: Eukaryota; Metazoa; Chordata; Mammalia; Rodentia; Muridae.